This 438-nucleotide ribosomal RNA is filed under the name uncultured bacterium. Its description in RNAcentral is "partial 16S ribosomal RNA". It matches the Rfam family "Bacterial small subunit ribosomal RNA", at positions 339 to 795 of the family's 1533-position model. The record is from RNAcentral.
CUACGGGGUGCAGCAGUGAGGAAUAUUGCACAAUGGGGGGAACCCUGAUGCAGCAACGCCGCGUGGAGGAUGACGCAUUUCGGUGUGUAAACUCCUUUUAUAUGUCAAGAAAAUGACGGUAGCAUAUGAAUAAGCACCGGCUAACUCCGUGCCAGCAGCCGCGGUAAUACGGAGGGUGCAAGCGUUACUCGGAAUCACUGGGCGUAAAGGACGCGUAGGCAGGUUGGAAAGUCAGGUGUGAAAUCCUACAGCUUAACUGUAGAACUGCACUUGAAACUUCUAAUCUAGAGUAUGGGAGGGGGAGAUGGAAUUAGUGGUGUAGGGGUAAAAUCCGUAGAUAUCACUAGGAAUACCUAAAGCGAAGGCGAUCUCCUGGAACAUUACUGACGCUAAGGCGUGAAAGCGUGGGGAGCAAACAGGAUAGAUACCCCUGUAGUC